UGCCCUAGUAACGGCGAGUGAAGCGGCAACAGCUCAAAUUUGAAAUCUGGCUCUCGGGCCCGAGUUGUAAUUUGUAGAGGAUGCUUUUGGUGCGGUGCCUUCCGAGUUCCCUGGAACGGGACGCCAUAGAGGGUGAGAGCCCCGUCUGGUUGGAUGCCAAUCCUCUGUAAAGCUCCUUCGACGAGUCGAGUAGUUUGGGAAUGCUGCUCUAAAUGGGAGGUAUAUGUCUUCUAAAGCUAAAUACCGGCCAGAGACCGAUAGCGCACAAGUAGAGUGAUCGAAAGAUGAAAAGAACUUUGAAAAGAGAGUUAAAAAGUACGUGAAAUUGUUGAAAGGGAAGCGCUUGUGACCAGACUUGGGCUUGGUUGAUCAUCCAGGGUUCUCCCUGGUGCACUCUUCCGGCUCAGGCCAGCAUCAGUUUGCCUCGGGGGAUAAAGGCUUCGGGAAUGUGGCUCUCUCCGGGGAGUGUUAUAGCCCGCUGCGUAAUACCCUGUGGCGGACUGAGGUUCGCGCAUUCGCAAGGAUGCUGGCGUAAUGGUCAUCAGUGACCCGUCUUGAAACACGGACCAAGGAGUCGUCUUCGUAUGCGAGUGUUCGGGUGUCAAACCCCUACGCGAAAUGAAAGUGAACGCAGGUGAGAGCUUCGGCGCAUCAUCGACCGAUCCUGAUGUUCUCGGAUGGAUUUGAGUAAGAGCAUACGGAGCCGGACCCGAAAGAAGGUGAACUAUGCCUGUGUAGGGUGAAGCCAGAGGAAACUCUGGUGGAGGCUCGCAGCGGUUCUGACGUGCAAAUCGAUCGUCAAACAUGGGCAUG
This 813-nucleotide ribosomal RNA is filed under the name Fusarium lichenicola. RNAcentral's name for it is "eukaryotic LSU rRNA". It matches the Rfam family "Eukaryotic large subunit ribosomal RNA", at positions 76 to 919 of the family's 3401-position model. Lineage: Eukaryota; Fungi; Ascomycota; Sordariomycetes; Hypocreales; Nectriaceae. The record is from RNAcentral.